GGAAUAUUGCACAAUGGGGGCAACCCUGAACGAGCAGUGCCGCGUGAGCGAAGAAGGUCUUCGGAUUGUAAAGCUCUGUUGCCGGGGAAAAAGGAAGGAAAGAGGAAAUGCUUUUCUUUGGAUGGUACCCGGCCAGAAAGUCACGGCUAACUACGUGCCAGCAGCCGCGGUAAUACGUAGGUGGCAAGCGUUAUCCGGAAUGAUUGGGCGUAAAGGGUGAGCAGGCGGUUCUUCAAGUCAUGAGUGAAAGGCAGAAGCUUAACUUCUGUUGGCUGAUGAGACUGGAGAACUUGAGUACAGGAGAGGGCGGCGGAACUCCAUGUGUAGCGGUAAAAUGCGUAGAGAUAUGGAAGAACACCAGUGGCGAAGGCGGCCGCCUGGACUGAAACUGACGCUCAGGCACGAAAGCGUGGGGAGCAAAUA
This 423-nucleotide ribosomal RNA is filed under the name uncultured bacterium. Its description in RNAcentral is "bacterial SSU rRNA". It matches the Rfam family "Bacterial small subunit ribosomal RNA", at positions 358 to 774 of the family's 1533-position model. The record is from RNAcentral.